This 253-nucleotide ribosomal RNA is filed under the name uncultured bacterium. RNAcentral describes it as "partial 16S ribosomal RNA". It matches the Rfam family "Bacterial small subunit ribosomal RNA", at positions 524 to 776 of the family's 1533-position model. The record is from RNAcentral.
UACGUAGGGGGCAAGCGUUGUCCGGAUUUAUUGGGCGUAAAGAGCGUGUAGGCGGCCAAGCAGGUCCGCUGUGAAAACUCGAGGCUCAACCUCGAGACGUCGGUGGAAACCGUUUGGCUAGAGUCCGGAAGAGGAGAGUGGAAUUCCCGGUGUAGCGGUGAAAUGCGCAGAUAUCGGGAAGAACACCCGUGGCGAAGGCGGCUCUCUGGGACGGUACUGACGCUGAGGUGCGAAAGCGUGGGGAGCAAACAGG